RNAcentral lists this ribosomal RNA (459 nucleotides) under uncultured bacterium. RNAcentral describes it as "partial 16S ribosomal RNA". It matches the Rfam family "Bacterial small subunit ribosomal RNA", at positions 338 to 795 of the family's 1533-position model. The record is from RNAcentral.
CCUACGGGUGGCAGCAGUGAGGAAUAUUGGUCAAUGGCCGAGAGGCUGAACCAGCCAAGUCGCGUGAGGGAAGACGGCCCUACGGGGUGUAAACCUCUUUUGUCGGGGAGCAAAGCGAGUCACGUGUGACUCAUGGAGAGUACCCGAAGAAAAAGCAUCGGCAAACUCCGGGCCAGCAGCCGCGGUGAUACGGAGGAGGCGAGCGUUAUCCGGAUUUAUUGGGUUUAAGGGGGGCGCAGGGGGACUGUUAAGUCAGCGGUCAAAGCCCGGGGCACAACCCCGGACCGCCGUUGAAACUGGCAGUCUCGAGUUGGAGAGAAGUAUGCGGAAUGCGCGGUGUAGCGGUGAAAUGCAUAGAUAUCGCGCAGAACUCCGAUUGCGAAGGCAGCAUGCCGGCUCCACACUGACGCUGAGGCACGAAAGCGUGGGUAUCGAACAGGAUUAGAUACCCGAGUAGUC